UAGACCUGGCGGAGGCCUACCUGCAAGUCGAGCGGAAACGAGUNUCAAAGCCUUCGGGUGGCGAUAACGGCGUCGAGCGGCGGACGGGUGAGUAAUGCCUAGGAAAUUGCCCUGAUGUGGGGGAUAACCAUUGGAAACGAUGGCUAAUACCGCAUGAUGCCUACGGGCCAAAGAGGGGGACCUUCGGGCCUCUCGCGUCAGGAUAUGCCUAGGUGGGAUUAGCUAGUUGGUGAGGUAAGGGCUCACCAAGGCGACGAUCCCUAGCUGGUCUGAGAGGAUGAUCAGCCACACUGGAACUGAGACACGGUCCAGACUCCUACGGGAGGCAGCAGUGGGGAAUAUUGCACAAUGGGCGCAAGCCUGAUGCAGCCAUGCCGCGUGUGUGAAGAAGGCCUUCGGGUUGUAAAGCACUUUCAGUCGUGAGGAAGGUAGUGUAGUUAAUAGCUGCAUCAUUUGACGUUAGCGACAGAAGAAGCACCGGCUAACUCCGUGCCAGCAGCCGCGGUAAUACGGAGGGUGCGAGCGUUAAUCGGAAUUACUGGGCGUAAAGCGCAUGCAGGUGGUUUGUUAAGUCAGAUGUGAAAGCCCGGGGCUCAACCUCGGAAUAGCAUUUGAAACUGGCAGACUAGAGUACUGUAGAGGGGGGUAGAAUUUCAGGUGUAGCGGUGAAAUGCGUAGAGAUCUGAAGGAAUACCGGGGCGAAGCGGCCCCCUGGCAGAUACUACACUCAGAUCGAAAGCGUGGACAACG
RNAcentral lists this ribosomal RNA (750 nucleotides) under Vibrio alginolyticus. RNAcentral describes it as "bacterial SSU rRNA". It matches the Rfam family "Bacterial small subunit ribosomal RNA", at positions 30 to 770 of the family's 1533-position model. The record is from RNAcentral. Lineage: Bacteria; Pseudomonadati; Pseudomonadota; Gammaproteobacteria; Vibrionales; Vibrionaceae.